RNAcentral lists this ribosomal RNA (207 nucleotides) under uncultured bacterium. RNAcentral's name for it is "partial 16S ribosomal RNA". It matches the Rfam family "Bacterial small subunit ribosomal RNA", at positions 568 to 774 of the family's 1533-position model. The record is from RNAcentral.
CGUGUAGGCGGCCUUCUAAGUCUGGUGUGAAAGCCCGGGGCUCAGCUCCGGAAGUGCAUCGGAAACUAGUUGGCUGGAGCGCGAUAGAGGAGGGUGGAAUUCCUGGUGUAGCGGUGAAAUGCGUAGAUAUCAGGAGGAAUACCGGCGGCGAAGGCGGCCCUCUGGAUCGUUGCUGACGCUGAGACGCGAAAGCGUGGGGAGCAAACA